This 72-nucleotide transfer RNA is filed under the name Stegodyphus mimosarum. It matches the Rfam family "tRNA". Rfam says of the family: Transfer RNA (tRNA) molecules are approximately 80 nucleotides in length. The record is from Rfam by way of RNAcentral. Lineage: Eukaryota; Metazoa; Arthropoda; Arachnida; Araneae; Eresidae.
GCCUUUGUGGUGUAGUGGUUAGCACACUCGGCACAUAAUCGAGAAGUCUAGGUUCAAGUCCCGGCAAGGGCA